This 77-nucleotide transfer RNA is filed under the name Candidatus Peregrinibacteria bacterium. RNAcentral's name for it is "tRNA-Pro". It matches the Rfam family "tRNA". From Rfam's summary of the family: Transfer RNA (tRNA) molecules are approximately 80 nucleotides in length. Lineage: Bacteria; Candidatus Peregrinibacteriota. RNAcentral also lists the same sequence under 1 other name. The record is from RNAcentral.
CGGGGAGUAGCUCAGUUGGCUAGAGUGCACGGUUUGGGACCGUGAUGUCGCAGGUUCGAGUCCUGUCUCCCCGACCA